This 433-nucleotide ribosomal RNA is filed under the name uncultured bacterium. RNAcentral describes it as "bacterial SSU rRNA". It matches the Rfam family "Bacterial small subunit ribosomal RNA", at positions 29 to 507 of the family's 1533-position model. The record is from RNAcentral.
AACGAACGCUGGCGGCAUGCCUAACACAUGCAAGUCGAGCGAGACCUUCGGGUCUAGUGGCGCACGGGUGCGUAACGCGUGGGAAUCUGCCCUAGGGUGCGGAAUAACUCGGAGAAAUCCGUGCUAAUACCGCAUAAUGUCUUCGGACCAAAGAUUUAUCGCCCUGGGAUGAGCCCGCGUAGGAUUAGCUAGUUGGUGGGGUAAAGGCCUACCAAGGCGACGAUCCUUAGCUGGUCUGAGAGGAUGAUCAGCCACACUGGGACUGAGACACGGCCCAGACUCCUACGGGAGGCAGCAGUGGGGAAUAUUGGACAAUGGGCGAAAGCCUGAUCCAGCAAUGCCGCGUGAGUGAUGAAGGCCCUAGGGUUGUAAAGCUCUUUUACCCGGGAUGAUAAUGACAGUACCGGGAGAAUAAGCUCCGGCUAACUCCGUG